CAAUAGCGUAUAUUAAAGUUGUUGCAGUUAAAAAGCUCGUAGUUGGAUUUGUGGUUGGAGCGGUCGGUCCGACACUGAGUGUGGGUACUUGACUGCCUCCGUCCAUCCUUGGGUGGAACCUGUGUGCAUUAGGUUGUCGUGCAGGGGAUGCCCAUCUUUUACUGUGAAUAAAUUAGAGUGUUCAAAGCAGGCUUACGCCGUUGAAUAUGCUAGCAUGGAAUAAUAAGAUAGGACCUUGGUACUAUUUUGUUGGUUUGUGCACCGAGGUAAUGAUUAAUAGGGACAGUUGGGGGUAUUCGUAUUGUAUUGUCAGAGGUGAAAUUCUUGGAUUUUUGCAAGACGAACGACUGCGAAAGCAUUUACCAAGGAUGUUUUCAUUAA
Molecule: ribosomal RNA, 381 nt
Filed under: uncultured eukaryote
Lineage: Eukaryota
Description: partial 18S ribosomal RNA
Rfam family: Eukaryotic small subunit ribosomal RNA
Source: RNAcentral